This is a long non-coding RNA of Dioscorea cayenensis subsp. rotundata (Guinea yam), 1247 nucleotides long. RefSeq lists it as uncharacterized. The transcript is spliced from 4 exons. The record is from RefSeq and is a predicted model, not a curated record. NCBI's taxonomy places the organism in Eukaryota, Viridiplantae, Streptophyta, Magnoliopsida, Dioscoreales, Dioscoreaceae.
GUAUUUUUGUUAUGGAGCAAAUGAACAGAUAACAAUUGCCAUCCUUUUCCUUUGUUGCUUAGAAACCAAAAAUCACGCAUAUGCAUAUCCGGACCAUAUGUGUUGGUGACCUUUUUGCUUUCUAUUGAUUCAUGAUUUGUUGCAGUGCAGUUGUUUUAUUGGUUUGUUGGUUUCUAUGAUUAAUGCAGUGUGAAAUGAUCAAACUUAGGUAAUACAUUGGUACAUUGGGGCAUCAAGCAGCAACUCCCUCAACUACGUCAAGAAACUUAUCAUUCCUAUUUUUUACAAGGAUGAACAAUGCUGAAGGUGCACAGGGUGAGAAGCGAAAAGGAACGGCAAACAAAAGAUGGACAAAAGAAAUGGAUCAUGUCUUGAUACCAUUACUUGCAGACAUGGCAAGAAGUGGUUUAAAAGUUGACAAAUUCUUCAAGCGCCAGGCAUUUGUCGAAGCAGCUAAUGUCGUGAAUAGUAGGUUCCCUGUCGCUUGCAUGGAUGCCGAUAAUGUGGAGAAUCACAUGCGCACUUUAAAACAAAAAUAUCAAGACAUUAAAAAACUUAUGAACCUCAGUGGUGUUGGAUGGAAUGACACAGAGAAGAAGUUGGUGUUAGAAGAUGAGACCUAUCGUACAUAUGUGGAGCCAAGGAGUAUUUAAACAAGCCUAUACUCUUUUUUGAUGAGCUACGUUUGGUUGCUGGAGAUGAUCACGCUACUGGAGAUUAUGCACGGACCAUCUUUGACCAAUUUGGUGGCACGCCAGGUGAGGAUGAGAGUGCACCUCCACCUAAUACACCAUUAGACAGUGAACCUAUGAAUACAAAAAAUCAAAGACAUGAAGCACUAAGGUCUUUUACGAAUAAGACCACUGCUAGGGUUCCCCGUAGAAUAAGAACCAAUGGUGAAAAUGGUUCAGGAGAAAACAUUGGAGAAAAGAUAGGUGAGUUGGCGGCAUCAAUAGAUAGGACUAGAAAAAAGACAUGGAAAGAAAAACUUACCGAUGUGUUGUGGGACAUGGAAGGUUAUAGUGAUGAUGACAUGGAAAUGGUGUACAAUAAGUUAAUCGACAACAAAAAAGAGGCCGAGAACUUCUACUUGAGAAAGCCAUCUCUCCAGAAAAGAUGGAUAGAUAAUUUUAUUGCUUCCAUGAGAAACUCUAGCCCUUGAAGAGGUCAUCACACUAAGUAUGUAUUUUUGGUUUCUAGUCAUACAACAAAAACUUUAUAGGAGUGAAAGAAUGAAGAAAAGAAUU